RNAcentral lists this ribosomal RNA (404 nucleotides) under Actinomycetes bacterium. RNAcentral's name for it is "Actinobacteria bacterium partial 16S ribosomal RNA". It matches the Rfam family "Bacterial small subunit ribosomal RNA", at positions 355 to 776 of the family's 1533-position model. The record is from RNAcentral. Lineage: Bacteria; Bacillati; Actinomycetota; Actinomycetes.
UGGGGAAUAUUGGACAAUGGGCGCAAGCCUGAUCCAGCCAUGCCGCGUGAGUGAUGAAGGCCCUAGGGUUGUAAAGCUCUUUCACCGGUGAAGAUAAUGACGGUAACCGGAGAAGAAGCCCCGGCUAACUUCGUGCCAGCAGCCGCGGUAAUACGAAGGGGGCUAGCGUUGUUCGGAUUUACUGGGCGUAAAGCGCACGUAGGCGGACUUUUAAGUCAGGGGUGAAAUCCCGGGGCUCAACCCCGGAACUGCCUUUGAUACUGGGAGUCUUGAGUAUGGUAGAGGUGAGUGGAAUUCCGAGUGUAGAGGUGAAAAUCGUAGAUAUUCGGAGGAACACAAAUGGCGAAGGCGGCUCACUGGACCAUUACUGACGCUGAGGUGCGAAAGCGUGGGGAGCAAACAGG